Molecule: long non-coding RNA, 1365 nt
Filed under: Betta splendens (Siamese fighting fish)
Lineage: Eukaryota; Metazoa; Chordata; Actinopteri; Anabantiformes; Osphronemidae
Description: lncRNA (ENSBSLG00000023538.1)
Source: RNAcentral
GGAUGAGACCACCCGCAGAGGGUGAGAAUAGAGUGGUGGUGUGUAUAUAUAUGCUUUAUAUAUAUAUAGUACACAAACCUCAUGCACUUCCAAUCUGCAUGUGGGCCUGGAUUACACAUCACUGCUCCACCUGGUGCAUGUAUGUGCAAUUGCAGGUAAUUUCUUAAAGGUUUAGGGGGCGUUAACAAGGCAGCCAUGCAUUAAGUACAUCACAGUGGGGGGUCAUGACUGGUGUAGGUGGGCUUGGUGGAAUGGUACCUAAGUCAUGCUAAUAACAUGACAAGAUCAGUGUGAAAUCCUGCAGCAACGAGGCAACGGAAAUUUGCCGCUCCAUCUGUAAUCCACUUGCUGCUUCCCCAAACGUAAUAACAUGCUUGAUACUUAUUAGAUGUAUGUACUCCCGAUGUUUCUUUGGUCAUAAUCUAGCUUCCCUCUUUGUGUUAGGAAUGCUAAUGGCUAGAACAGUUCAUGCUAAGUUGCAAGGCGCUCCCACGCUAUUUGGAUGAAUCCAGCCUUUGCCCGGUUCGAAUCGUGUGAUAUAUGGUACUGAGGUAACUCACUCAGCUCACAUUUUAGCUGCUAGCGCCAUGUUAGCCGCUAGCACAGCGUAAGCCGCUAGCGCUAGAUCUCCACAUGACGUUGAGUACAACUCCACAUGACGUUGAGUACAACUUACUCAUGAAUUUGGGUUAUGGCAAGUUCUAUCAAAGUCUAAAAUGUAUGUUGUUGCUGUCUUCUCGUAAGUGUUGCUUAUCUAGUCAGUCAGGCGCAUCCCAGCUACCGAAACGCAAGGAGUUUGCUUCUCAAACUGAUAUGCCACUGCAGGAUGUGGGCACAUGGCUACCUUGUACAGAGUUGUUGCUCACCUCAGGAAAGGUAUGCAAAGAUUAUGUGGAAAACCUGAUGGAGACCAUCUUCAAUAAAGUCGUUAUAUGGAGGACCUUGUAAAAAUCCCUGUCCCACCGGCCCAUUACAACUGAUCUAACUACCUCUACAUAUUGUUUACAUUUGUUAAGGUUGUGAGAUACAUAGGAAAUAGUGGACAUUUCAUUCUUCUACUAUUCUAUUCUCUAUACCUUUUGGAGUGGUGUCAAGGAAAACAGCUGCAUCCUCCAUCUGUACAGCAGCUGCACUGCUUCAGAUCAAAAUGUUUUCCAAAACGUGAUGAGCACAACAAAGAUCCUCACAUCUCCCCAACCAACUGCCCAUUACUGUACCUGUUCUACUCCAGACACUAUGCUUUCAACAUGAACCCUACCCAUUCAUUCCGUGGUCUGCACAUUGAACUGUGAAGGUAACUUAUCCAGCAUUAUAGUGCUGGAGCAUUGAUUGACAAUAAAGUUGGCUUUGACUAUUGCUGUUUCA